Molecule: ribosomal RNA, 435 nt
Filed under: uncultured bacterium
Lineage: Bacteria
Description: partial 16S ribosomal RNA
Rfam family: Bacterial small subunit ribosomal RNA
Source: RNAcentral
AACGAACGCUGGCGGCAGGCCUAACACAUGCAAGUCGAGCGGACAUCUUCGGAUGUUAGCGGCGGACGGGUGAGUAACGCGUGGGAACGUGCCCUUUGCUUCGGAAUAGCCUCGGGAAACUGGGAGUAAUACCGGAUGUACCCUUUGGGGGAAAGAUUUAUCGGCAAAGGAUCGGCCCGCGUAGGAUUAGGUAGUUGGUGGGGUAAUGGCCUACCAAGCCGACGAUCCAUAGCUGGUUUGAGAGGAUGAUCAGCCACACUGGGACUGAGACACGGCCCAGACUCCUACGGGAAGCAGCAGUGGGGAAUCUUAGACAAUGGGGGAAACCCUGAUCUAGCCAUGCCGCGUGAGCGAUGAAGGCCUUAGGGUUGUAAAGCUCUUUCACCGGGGAAGAUAAUGACGAUACCCGGAGAAGAAGCCCCGGCUAACUCCGUG